Molecule: ribosomal RNA, 775 nt
Filed under: uncultured Neocallimastigales
Lineage: Eukaryota; Fungi; Neocallimastigomycota; Neocallimastigomycetes; Neocallimastigales
Description: partial large subunit ribosomal RNA
Rfam family: Eukaryotic large subunit ribosomal RNA
Source: RNAcentral
CGCAUCUGUGCAUGCAGCAUAUCAAUAAGCGGAGGAAAAGAAACUAACAAGGAUUCCCUUAGUAACGGCGAGUGAAGCGGGUAGAGCUCAAAUUUGAAAUCUUAAAGGGUUUCCCUUUACGAAUUGUAGUUUAAAGAAGUGUUUUCUGUUGAGGUUUUGGUAAAAGUUCUUUGGAAUAGGACAUCAUAGAGGGUGAGAAUCCCGUAUUUGACCUUUACUUUCAACUUUGUGAUACACUUUCAAAGAGUCGGAUUGUUUGGGAAUGCAGUCCAAAAUGGGUGGUAAAUUUCAUCUAAAGCUAAAUAUUGGCGAGAGACCGAUAGCGAACAAGUACCGUGAGGGAAAGAUGAAAAGAACUUUGAAAAGAGAGUUAAACAGUACGUGGAAUUGUCAAAAGGGAAGCGUUUGACACCAGUGUUGUUUUUCUGAAAAUCAAUUAAAGAACUGUUUAUGCUAAGCUGUUUAGACUUUAUCAGCUAUCUGUUUAGUUUUGAGCUUUUCUUUAAUGCACUUUUCAGUUAACAAGUCAACAUCAAUUUCUUUUGCUGUAAAAAAGCUUGAGGAAGGUGGCUUGAGAUUCGUCUUAAGUGUUUAUAGCCUCUUGCCUAUGCAGUCGGAGAGAUUGAGGUCUGCAGCGUAGAUCCUUCGGGGCUAAAUGCAUUUGAUGCUAAGUUAUAGCAUUUUAUAGACAACUUGUUGACUAUGAUUUGUCUUGUAGCUUACUCGCUUAUGUUAUUUUACCUACGCUUAGGAUGUUGAUAGUCACAGCGUGUAC